UGGGGGAUAUUGCACAAUGGGGGAAACCCUGAUGCAGCGACGCCGCGUGAGCGAAGAAGAUCUUCGGAUUGUAAAGCUCUGUCUUGGGGGACGAUAAUGACGGUACCCCGAGAGGAAGCCACGGCUAACUACGUGCCAGCAGCCGCGGUAAUACGUAGGUGGCAAGCGUUGUCCGGAAUUACUGGGUGUAAAGGGAGCGCAGGCGGGUGCGCAAGUUGGAAGUGAAACUCAUGGGCUUAACCCAUGACCUGCUUUCAAAACUGCGCGUCUUGAGUGGUGUAGAGGUAGGCGGAAUUCCCGGUGUAGCGGUGGAAUGCGUAGAUAUCGGGAGGAACACCAGUGGCGAAGGCGGCCUACUGGGCACUAACUGACGCUGAGGCUCGAAAGCAUGGGUAGCAAACAGG
RNAcentral lists this ribosomal RNA (404 nucleotides) under uncultured bacterium. RNAcentral describes it as "bacterial SSU rRNA". It matches the Rfam family "Bacterial small subunit ribosomal RNA", at positions 355 to 776 of the family's 1533-position model. The record is from RNAcentral.